UCCGGUUUGUCACCGGCAGUCUGGCGUGAGUCCCCAACUUAAUGCUGGCAACACGCCACGGGGGUUGCGCUCGUUGCGGGACUUAACCCAACAUCUCACGACACGAGCUGACGACAGCCAUGCAGCACCUGUGCGCCGGCUCCCUUUCGGGCACUCCCGCAUCUCUGCAGGAUUCCGGCCAUGUCAAGGGUAGGUAAGGUUUUUCGCGUUGCAUCGAAUUAAUCCACAUCAUCCACCGCUUGUGCGGGUCCCCGUCAAUUCCUUUGAGUUUUAGCCUUGCGGCCGUACUCCCCAGGCGGAUAACUUAAUGCGUUAGCUGCGCCACCAAAACCCUAAGGGCCCUGACAGCUAGCUAUCAUCGUUUACGGCGUGGACUAC
Molecule: unclassified non-coding RNA, 378 nt
Filed under: uncultured bacterium
Lineage: Bacteria
Description: contains 16S-23S intergenic spacer region
Source: RNAcentral